Molecule: ribosomal RNA, 1912 nt
Filed under: Salmonella enterica
Lineage: Bacteria; Pseudomonadati; Pseudomonadota; Gammaproteobacteria; Enterobacterales; Enterobacteriaceae
Description: partial 23S ribosomal RNA
Rfam family: Bacterial large subunit ribosomal RNA
Source: RNAcentral
CCGGCUUACCAACCCGAUGCAAACUGCGAAUACCGGAGAAUGUUAUCACGGGAGACACACGGCGGGUGCUAACGUCCGUCGUGAAGAGGGAAACAACCCAGACCGCCAGCUAAGGUCCCAAAGUCAUGGUUAAGUGGGAAACGAUGUGGGAAGGCCCAGACAGCCAGGAUGUUGGCUUAGAAGCAGCCAUCAUUUAAAGAAAGCGUAAUAGCUCACUGGUCGAGUCGGCCUGCGCGGAAGAUGUAACGGGGCUAAACCAUGCACCGAAGCUGCGGCAGCGACACUGUGUGUUGUUGGGUAGGGGAGCGUUCUGUAAGCCUGUGAAGGUGUGUCGUGAGGCAUGCUGGAGGUAUCAGAAGUGCGAAUGCUGACAUAAGUAACGAUAAAGCGGGUGAAAAGCCCGCUCGCCGGAAGACCAAGGGUUCCUGUCCAACGUUAAUCGGGGCAGGGUGAGUCGACCCCUAAGGCGAGGCCGAAAGGCGUAGUCGAUGGGAAACGGGUUAAUAUUCCCGUACUUGGUGUUACUGCGAAGGGGGGACGGAGAAGGCUAUGUUGGCCGGGCGACGGUUGUCCCGGUUUAAGCGUGUAGGUGUGUGUUCCAGGUAAAUCCGGUUCACUUUAACACUGAGGCGUGACGACGAGGCACUACGGUGCUGAAGCAACAAAUGCCCUGCUUCCAGGAAAAGCCUCUAAGCAUCAGGUAACAUCAAAUCGUACCCCAAACCGACACAGGUGGUCAGGUAGAGAAUACCAAGGCGCUUGAGAGAACUCGGGUGAAGGAACUAGGCAAAAUGGUGCCGUAACUUCGGGAGAAGGCACGCUGACACGUAGGUGAAGUGAUUUACUCAUGGAGCUGAAGUCAGUCGAAGAUACCAGCUGGCUGCAACUGUUUAUUAAAAACACAGCACUGUGCAAACACGAAAGUGGACGUAUACGGUGUGACGCCUGCCCGGUGCCGGAAGGUUAAUUGAUGGGGUCAGCGCAAGCGAAGCUCCUGAUCGAAGCCCCGGUAAACGGCGGCCGUAACUAUAACGGUCCUAAGGUAGCGAAAUUCCUUGUCGGGUAAGUUCCGACCUGCACGAAUGGCGUAAUGAUGGCCAGGCUGUCUCCACCCGAGACUCAGUGAAAUUGAACUCGCUGUGAAGAUGCAGUGUACCCGCGGCAAGACGGAAAGACCCCGUGAACCUUUACUAUAGCUUGACACUGAACAUUGAGCCUUGAUGUGUAGGAUAGGUGGGAGGCUUUGAAGUGUGGACGCCAGUCUGCAUGGAGCCGACCUUGAAAUACCACCCUUUAAUGUUUGAUGUUCUAACGUGGACCCGUUACCCGGGUUGCGGACAGUGUCUGGUGGGUAGUUUGACUGGGGCGGUCUCCUCCUAAAGAGUAACGGAGGAGCACGAAGGUUGGCUAAUCCUGGUCGGACAUCAGGAGGUUAGUGCAAUGGCAUAAGCCAGCUUGACUGCGAGCGUGACGGCGCGAGCAGGUGCGAAAGCAGGUCAUAGUGAUCCGGUGGUUCUGAAUGGAAGGGCCAUCGCUCAACGGAUAAAAGGUACUCCGGGGAUAACAGGCUGAUACCGCCCAAGAGUUCAUAUCGACGGCGGUGUUUGGCACCUCGAUGUCGGCUCAUCACAUCCUGGGGCUGAAGUAGGUCCCAAGGGUAUGGCUGUUCGCCAUUUAAAGUGGUACGCGAGCUGGGUUUAGAACGUCGUGAGACAGUUCGGUCCCUAUCUGCCGUGGGCGCUGGAGAACUGAGGGGGGCUGCUCCUAGUACGAGAGGACCGGAGUGGACGCAUCACUGGUGUUCGGGUUGUCAUGCCAAUGGCACUGCCCGGUAGCUAAAUGCGGAAGAGAUAAGUGCUGAAAGCAUCUAAGCACGAAACUUGCCCCGAGAUGAGUUCUCCCUGAGACUUAG